CUUUGUUGCUCUAAGCGUUCUCGUAACAGUUGAAUCUCGUGUUUCAGAGCAGUUAAUUCGCCACCAACCAAUAAUCCUCCGCAAUCGGAGGUCACCGUGCCCUACAUGUACAGGAGACAACUUUACCCCAUAAACAGCGUUAUUCGUAAGCGUACACCUUUACCUCGAGCUCCUUGAGGUCAUCGUUCUCUUCUUCGAAAGGGUUCUCAUCGAAGCUAAAAUCGACGGCCGAUAUCGAGUGUGUUAGUUGAAGGGAAGGCAGUUUCAUUUUUCGAAAAGGUUUCUUCAACUUUAGGUAAUUGAAUAUUUCAGGCUCCUUGAAUGAUAAUUUCUUCCUGGGCUUCGGUGUGGUCUCCACGCCGGAAGGAUUGGCUGGACCGGAACUAGGCGACACUGAAAAUACACCAAAUGUAUAUCACGAUAAAAGUUACGAUGUCCAUGAAGAGUUCAUUCUUUUGUCCUGCGUUAUAUGGUAUGUAUUAUAUAAUUUCUUUUUGCACUCUUAUUUUAUUUUGUUGGAUUAUAUU
Apis laboriosa (Himalayan honeybee) is the source of this 527-nucleotide long non-coding RNA. RefSeq lists it as uncharacterized. The transcript is spliced from 3 exons. Lineage: Eukaryota; Metazoa; Arthropoda; Insecta; Hymenoptera; Apidae. The record is from RefSeq and is a predicted model, not a curated record.